CGGCGCAAAGCAUGGUGGGCCGCGGGCGGAGCGGGACCGGUGGCUGCCCUUUGGCGACCCCGGGCCCGCCAGUCCGACGACGGGUUGGGCCGGUGUCGGCAGCUCCCCGGUCCAGGUGUCCGCGGCCGCAGCGCAGUGCCCCGUAUGCGGGAGGCGCUCAAUAACCACGGCGACAGAAAUAGUUCGGGUGGCUCCGUGCCCCGGGGCACACAGGCAGCCUGGAAGCUGCCCCGGCUCCCAGUCCAGACCUGGGGCAACGCCAUUGGCUUGAAGGCUACCCAGAACUCCACUCCACUUGACCCACUCUGACCUCCGCCGUGGCUCUGUUCUGGGUCUCAAAGGACUAUGAGCCCUGGCUGGUGCGGCUCAGUGGACUGAGUGCAGGCCUGUGAACCAAAGGGUCGCCGGUUCAAUCCCCAGUUAGGGCACAGGCCUCGGAUGCAGGCCAGGUCCCCAGUUGGCGGGUGCACAAGAGGCAACCACAUGCUGAUGUUUUUUUUCCCUCUCUUUGUCUCUCCUUUCCCCUCUCUAAAUAUAAAUAAAAUAUUAAGAAAGACUAUAAUAAGUAAAUGCAAUGCAAAUAAAUAUGGGUAAAAAAA
Molecule: long non-coding RNA, 599 nt
Organism: Pteronotus mesoamericanus
Lineage: Eukaryota; Metazoa; Chordata; Mammalia; Chiroptera; Mormoopidae
Exons: 2
Source: RefSeq, a predicted model, not a curated record